UACGUAGGUGGCGAGCGUUGUCCGGAUUUAUUGGGCGUAAAGCGCGCGCAGGCGGAUGCCUAAGUCCGGUGUGAAAGCCCCCGGCUCAACUGGGGGAGGCCACGGGAGACUGGGCGUCUGGAGGCAGGCAGAGGCCGGUGGAAUUCCCGGUGUAGUGGUGAAAUGCGUAGAGAUCGGGAGGAACACCAGUGGCGAAGGCGGCCGGCUGGGCCUGUUCUGACGCUGAGGCGCGAAAGCGUGGGGAGCGAACCGG
RNAcentral lists this ribosomal RNA (253 nucleotides) under uncultured bacterium. RNAcentral describes it as "partial 16S ribosomal RNA". It matches the Rfam family "Bacterial small subunit ribosomal RNA", at positions 524 to 776 of the family's 1533-position model. The record is from RNAcentral.